UUAGAAGAGAAACAGAAGAAAGAAUGCGAUAAAAGAGAGAGAAAGCGACAGAGAAGGAAAGAAACAGAUAGAAAAGAGAGAAAGAGAAGAAUUUAGAGAGAGAAGAAGAGUCUCUAUUGAUUAGAAACUCUAGAAUGAUUUACAUUAGAGCUGGUCAGCUCUAUUUAAACAGCUUUCAGCUCUCCCUCUUGGCAGUUACAACUAUCCUAGCUCUAAAACUACUUCUAGCUUCUUUUGCUUCCUUCAUUCGAUUGCGUAACAACUUUUCCCUCCUUCUCAUUCCCUUAUUCCUAAACCUUCUUCCAUAACAAGAAAGCGUGUGACAUAUAUUA
Molecule: unclassified non-coding RNA, 332 nt
Filed under: Hevea brasiliensis (rubber tree)
Lineage: Eukaryota; Viridiplantae; Streptophyta; Magnoliopsida; Malpighiales; Euphorbiaceae
Source: RNAcentral